CAAAAUUUAACAUAUAAUAAUGUAUCUCACUUACAUUGAGAAAAUAAUUAAAUUAAUUAAUUUUGA
This 66-nucleotide transfer RNA is filed under the name Sepiadariidae sp. GS-2020. RNAcentral's name for it is "tRNA-Val". Lineage: Eukaryota; Metazoa; Mollusca; Cephalopoda; Sepiida; Sepiadariidae. The record is from RNAcentral.